RNAcentral lists this ribosomal RNA (558 nucleotides) under uncultured bacterium. Its description in RNAcentral is "partial 16S ribosomal RNA". It matches the Rfam family "Bacterial small subunit ribosomal RNA", at positions 355 to 906 of the family's 1533-position model. The record is from RNAcentral.
UGGGGAAUUUUGGACAAUGGGCGCAAGCCUGAUCCAGCCAUGCCGCGUGCGGGAAGAAGGCCUUCGGGUUGUAAACCGCUUUUGUCAGGGAAGAAAUCUUCUGAGUUAAUACCUCGGGAGGAUGACGGUACCUGAAGAAUAAGCACCGGCUAACUACGUGCCAGCAGCCGCGGUAAUACGUAGGGUGCAAGCGUUAAUCGGAAUUACUGGGCGUAAAGCGUGCGCAGGCGGUUUUGUAAGACAGAGGUGAAAUCCCCGGGCUCAACCUGGGAACUGCCUUUGUGACUGCAAGGCUUGAGUGCGGCAGAGGGGGAUGGAAUUCCGCGUGUAGCAGUGAAAUGCGUAGAUAUGCGGAGGAACACCGAUGGCGAAGGCAAUCCCCUGGGCCUGCACUGACGCUCAUGCACGAAAGCGUGGGGAGCAAACAGGAUUAGAUACCCUGGUAGUCCACGCCCUAAACGAUGUCAACUGGUUGUUGGGAAGGUUCCUUCUCAGUAACGUAGCUAACGCGUGAAGUUGACCGCCUGGGGAGUACGGCCGCAAGGUUGAAACUCAAAU